RNAcentral lists this long non-coding RNA (2138 nucleotides) under Strongylocentrotus purpuratus (purple sea urchin). RNAcentral's name for it is "uncharacterized LOC115925561". Lineage: Eukaryota; Metazoa; Echinodermata; Echinoidea; Camarodonta; Strongylocentrotidae. The record is from RNAcentral.
UCAGUCUCUUUUUUGAUCUCUUGAUCUGGGGGUACCAGCAUCUGGUGUAGAAAAGCACCAGCUUUUAACUUUAAGCCAUGUGGGUCGAAUUGCCAAGUUCACCGAACACCUCGUUUCCACUGCUAUCUCUUUGGCCUGCAUUAAUGUAAAAAGAGGGAGAGAGAGAUAGAAAAAGGGAAUCGACAGUGAAGGGGGGGGGGGGCAGGUAUUAUGUCUUUCUUGUUAAUAAAAAAUAGAGAUAUAUAAUGCAAUAAUAUGUUUAAUGACACUCACAUUGGUCCUAUAGGUUAUUUGCCUUUUUCAGAUUCAGAUCAGAGGUUGAAGAUAUUGUGACGCGGGACGCAAAACACCUUCUCAACAAAUGAGUCUCAAUAGAAAUUGCUGCCACCACAUGGUGAUAUAGGGACAUGACCCCUGGAUCAACUGAGGUUUCUCCAGUUGAUCCCAAUCUAAAUGGAAACUACGUCACAAUAUGAAUUGUCUUUCCUUGUGACGUAACAAUGCAAGACUGCAAGAGAGUUAAUUAUGCAUAGAAAAUGGGGGGGAAAGGAUUGCCGCUGAUUGGCUAAGAGUAAUGCGUGCCAAGUGCCAUUCAAUCAGACACCAUGCGCCCAUGUUACAAAUUAGGAGCCAUUCGUCUUAGUGUGCUCAAGAAAUCCCGACAGAAUUCACCAAGAUGUUCCUCAUGAUGCAUUCAGCUUCUUGUAGAUUAAAAAGGAACAAGUCAAGAAAUACUGGAAUCUGAUUGAGGCCACAUCAUACCGGUUAUGCUUGGUUUCUGCCCCCUUCAAGUGGUGCUGCCUUUUUAAAUGACGCACCAGAUGCUCUUCCGACUCUGAUUCAUAAUCACAUCGUCGGCACUGGUAGGUCAGGUCCGAGUCAUGGCUUUCCUGAAGAUGUCUCUUUAGCUCGGGGUAAGUUUCAUACUCGAGUGUGCAUUUUCUGCAGCGGGGCAUCUGUUUGAAAAUAUAAAAAUAUUGAAAGACAUUUAAAGAUGAGGGUUUAUUUUAUUCUUCAGUAUAACGUUUGGGAAUGUGUUUGACUCUCUCGGGAUUUCUCCUAGAUAUGGGUUGUUGAGUCCAAUCCUUCAUAGCCAGACCCUCAUAAGCCUUUAACCUAUCUAAGUGCACUACUUUAGGAAUGGUCAAAUAGAUGGAUGGUCAUUCAUUCAUCUAAACAUGGAUGGCCUCAUUCACAAUAUAUUCUUUGUCAGGGAUAUAGUUACUAUACUGUACUCACGUUUUUCAAUAAUGUCCGUGCCCGCCUGCUAUAGCAGCUCCUCCUGGCCCCCGACUCCUUCUUGUGACUCACUACAGUUUUCUGUCCACCUUUCUCCCUUUUCCUUCGUUCCUCAUUCACCUCCCUCUCUAGAGCUAGUUUCCACUGCUAUCUCUUUGGCCUGCAUUAAUGUAAAAAGUCUGCCGAGCCACCUUGCCGGUUGUCUUCUUGAUGUUUGGUUUGAGAGUUGUGCGAAUGUCACAUUUUGAAAAUCGAUUGACCUCUUCAGAAAAAAAAGACACAAUGAAAUCAACAAUUUAAGACAACUAAUACAGUAGCACUUAUCAAACCAGAAAUAUUAUUACACUUAGUCAGUCGAUGAGGAAAAAUGAAAAACAAAGUGUUCAGUAUUGUCGAGCUACCUUAUCAGUUGUUUCCAUUUUUGCCAUUACCAUCCCAUCUGCAAAGAUGAAAAAAAAAAAAAAGAAGUAUCCAAGACAAGUCCAGAAUAGACUAGAUCUAUAGGUCUACAGAAGUGUGCACAGUUGCACAUUUCUGAUUUAUCUUCUUAUUAAACUCUUGGGCGCUGAAGCAACUCUGGCCCCCUGGAGUUCUGAAACAGCGCAUGACACACUCUGAAACAGAUAAUCAGAGAGCAUCUUGUGAUCUUAUUAUGAUAAGGAUGUGCUUGCCCGGCCAAUAUGUAUUUGACCAGUCUUGCCAGGUGCAAUCGGGACAUCCAUUUCCCGCAUCUAUUUUAACUAAGUAUGAUGUAUUCGUACUUUGUAGCUCAAAGGUGUUAACGCUUUUUGCAGUUACCUUACAGCUCAAACCCUGCGCAUCUGCCCAUCGCUUCAUAACAUGCUUUACAAAAACAACAAUAAUACAGGCCUCAGAUAAUCGUACAAUAACGAAUACAU